AGUUGGGCAGAGAGAAAGGAGGGCGCUGCGGUUCUUGGUGCUUGGCUAUGGCGUCCACCUCUUCCUCCUCCUCCUCCCCCGCAUUCCCGGAGAGAAAGGGCUUCAAAGCCGACGCCGAUGGGCAGCUCUACUACAGCCCCUACAGUGAGCUCUUUGGUGCCAUGGAUCAACACCUGUACAAGCUCCCCACCACCCCGGAGUUCCUCUUUUCGGAGGAGGCGACGUUCCAGCGGCGAUCCCUGGGCGAGAACAUCCAGUAUUACACGGGCUGUGGCUACCUGGGCGGCGCGGUGGCGGGCGGCGCCAAGGGCCUGGUGGACGGCGUCCGGCAGAUCGAGAGCGGCGACACCGCCAAGCUACGCGUCAAUCGGCUGCUCAACUCGUCGGGCCACACGGGGAGGAUGAUGGGCAACAAGAUUGGGAUCGUGGGACUAAUGUACGCGGGAAUGGAGAGCGGCGCCUGGUACCUCCGCAAGAGCGAUGAUCUCCUCAAUUCCGUGGCGGCGGGGCUCGCCACUGGCGCCUUCUACAAGGCCGCCGCCGGGCCUAGGACCGCCGCCAUCGCUGGCGCUCUGGGAGCCAUGGCGGCGGGGGGGAUGGUCGUGGGAAAGCAAGCGGCAAAGAGAUAUCUUCCACUCUAGAGCAGCGCUUGAAGAACAAGACUAUCUAUCACUCGUUCUUGCGAUCAUUAUAUGGGCGGGGCGGGAUCAGUCGAUCGAUCGAUCAAAAGUUACUACAGCUAGAAGAGGGAUUGAGAGGGCUUUUUUGUCAGGAAUUUGUCGAAAUUUAGUAGAAUGCUUGAGAUUCUCGAGUCCGCGGUGGCUGUGAUGACCAAAUUUUCCCGAAGAUGAGGCUUGAUCGCCUCUGAAAUGGAAAGAAUCAUGAGUCUGAGCCACAAUCUCCACAAAAAUCUAAAACCAAACCCCUAAACCCCAAAUCUUGAGUGCUAGAACCCUAAAUCUUUGAGUGCUAGAACCCUAAAAGAAAGUACCUUCUUUUUCUCGCAAUGGCGACUGCGAGCAGCACUAGCAGCAUCCGGCAGCAGCAAGGGCGGCAGCCGGAAUUCAAGUACAUCGUUCCACUGAUCUACGCUCCAAUCCUGCCGCUCAUAAGGCUCGCGUUCCGGAAGAAUCCCGAGGUGCGAGAUCGAGUGUUUGCGGUAGCGCUCGGGAUGGCGUUCGUGCACGGAGGCUAUGUGAUAUCGGAGCUCUAUCAGAAGGAAAGUAGCAGGCAGCCCAAAUUGUGAGGCUGGAUCGC
This is an RNA transcript of Selaginella moellendorffii, 1257 nucleotides long. It is a transcript of the gene named mitochondrial import inner membrane translocase subunit TIM23-2, with no coding region annotated. The transcript is spliced from 5 exons. The record is from RefSeq and is a predicted model, not a curated record. NCBI's taxonomy places the organism in Eukaryota, Viridiplantae, Streptophyta, Lycopodiopsida, Selaginellales, Selaginellaceae.